This is a long non-coding RNA of Arabidopsis lyrata subsp. lyrata, 1621 nucleotides long. RefSeq lists it as uncharacterized. The record is from RefSeq and is a predicted model, not a curated record. NCBI's taxonomy places the organism in Eukaryota, Viridiplantae, Streptophyta, Magnoliopsida, Brassicales, Brassicaceae. The transcript has 2 exons.
UCUUUGAUACAGAGAAACCACAAUUUCUCAAUUAGAUCCAAAUCACAACACCAAAUUGAAUCGUCGUUCAUAAAACGAGAAUCCAAAUCUCAUGUGGUAGAGCUUAGAAGUAGAAACAGCUAUAUCUAAAGAGUUUUUCAGAGAAAAUUGAAGAAGAAGAAGAAGAUUACACAAAUUGUUUUUUGGUUAUCUUUCUGCAAAAUGGUCUUCCAUCCCUAAAUAGCUUCACCUCUCGAUCUCUUUCUAGCCAAUCACUAGCUAAUUGCCAACUCACAAUUCACACCUCCACCAAUCAUGUUGUAACAAACUUCCACGUUACUCAUUUCCUAUAUCAAAUCCUCUCGUUCGAAGAAACCUUGACCUCAAGGUUUGGAAAAGAAUGGAUUUACUAUGAUAUCUUCACUUCAGUUUCAUUCAACCAAUUCUCUGCGUGGAUUUGAAUUCCCAGUUUUGUACUUAAAACGCCAUGCUUUAGGAAGUUUGCUCUGCUUCCAUAUGUGCCUUCUGAGAUUGCCCCUAUCAGCUUGGAAUCGGAUAUUAAUGUUCAAACCUCAGGUGAAGAUGUCACAGUGAGAAUAAACUGUCCGUUGGAGUCUCAUCCAGCUUCUAGAAUCUUCCAUGCGUUUGAAGAGACUAAAGUAGAAGUGAUGAACUCGAACCUUGAAGUUUCUCAGGACACAGUGUUGCAUACGUUUGUAGUCAAAUCUGAAGAAUUAACGAAAGAGAAGCUGAUAUCUGCGUUGUCUAGAGAGCCAUCAAAUUCAGUUCAGUCAAGAACAUCAUCUGGUAGAUAGCCUUUUGAGAGAUAGAAGAAGGUGGAAAGUAAGUUUGUAAUCAAGAACCGGUUUUGAAUGGUUCUUUUUUGUUUCUGCUAGGUUUCUUUUGUUUUUGCUUUUUUUUUUUUUGGUUAUAUACCUGUAAGAAUCCUCCAAACUAGGAUUUUAGAAGUUUAAUUGACAAAAGUAGACAUUAUCAGUUACUCGGUUUACAGUGGACAAAAUUGGGGGAAAAGGAUAAUGUUGUAAUGGCUCUUUCCUGCAGAGACAAGACUUGCAGACUUGAUACUAACAUCAAAGAAGACAGUGUUGUGGUUUGCAUAACGAUCAUUUGGGUCCAAUACCUUCAAACCUCUGAGGGAAUUCAACAUAGAAGAUUCUAUCACUACCACCUUCCCUCAGAGUCAUGGAGUUGUACAUUAUGUAGUGGUCAGAUGAAUGACAUGAUUGCUCUGGUCCUAACCAAAGCAAUUGAUGGCUCCCACAGAAAUGAUUGAAGUUGCUGCUAUAUUUAUAGGCGUUGGCUUCAUAUUCAGCAUCUGCAGCCGCAGCAAUAAAACGAACGCUGAGUUUCUAGAUGAAGCUACCGGCGAUAUGAAGCAUUCUCAUAAUCAGGCCGGUUCUAUCUCCCACAGAAAGACCAGCAUUGGUAGGCUGAUGUCAAUGUCUGUUAGAUCAUCAAACACUGCUGCUUCUGUUCAAUUUAAAGAAGCCAACAUCAUCAUCUCCUUUUUUUUGGUUCAGAACCAUCAUCUUCAUCUCUUCUUUCCUUCUCCACAAACAUAUGGGUGUUUGUUUGUAACAGAGAGGUAUAAAUGUAUAAUAAAGAGAUCGUCCCGGACCCA